GACGAACGCUGGCGGCGUGCCUAAUACAUGCAAGUCGAGCGGAACUGGGGGAGCUUGCUCCUUCCAGUUUAGCGGCGGACGGGUGAGUAACACGUGGGCAACCUGCCCUGCAGAUCGGGAUAACUCCGGGAAACCGGUGCUAAUACCGAAUAGUUUGGCGCCUCUCCUGAGGCGCUACGGAAAGACGGUUUCGGCUGUCACUGCAGGAUGGGCCCGCGGCGCAUUAGCUAGUUGGUGGGGUAACGGCCCACCAAGGGGACGAGGCGUAGCCGACCUGGGAGGGUGACCGGCCACACUGGGACUGAGACACGGCCCAGACUCCUACGGGAGGCAGCAGUAGGGAAUCUUCCGCAAUGGACGAAAGUCUGACGGAGCAACGCCGCGUGAGUGACGAAGGUUUUCGGAUCGUAAAACUCUGUUGUGAGGGAAGAACACGUACCAACUAACUAUUGGUACCUUGACGGUACCUCACCAGAAAGCCACGGCUAACUACGUGCCAGCAGCCGCCGUAA
Molecule: ribosomal RNA, 512 nt
Filed under: uncultured bacterium
Lineage: Bacteria
Description: partial 16S ribosomal RNA
Rfam family: Bacterial small subunit ribosomal RNA
Source: RNAcentral